RNAcentral lists this long non-coding RNA (5002 nucleotides) under Homo sapiens (human). RNAcentral describes it as "HSALNT0395888". The record is from RNAcentral. Lineage: Eukaryota; Metazoa; Chordata; Mammalia; Primates; Hominidae.
CGCGGGGCGCUCGGGGCCCGGGGCCAGAGCUGGAGCCGGAGCCGGGCGGGCGCCAUGGAGGGGCUGCGGCGGGGGCUGUCGCGCUGGAAGCGCUACCACAUCAAGGUGCACCUGGCGGACGAGGCGCUGCUGCUACCGCUGACCGUGCGGCCGCGGGACACGCUCAGCGACCUGCGCGCCCAGCUGGUGGGCCAGGGCGUGAGCUCCUGGAAGCGCGCCUUCUACUACAACGCGCGGCGGCUGGACGACCACCAGACGGUGCGCGACGCGCGCCUGCAGGACGGCUCGGUGCUGCUGCUCGUCAGCGACCCCAGCGAGGCGCAGCGGCUCACACCCGCAAUCCCAGCACUUUGGGAGGCUGAGGCAAGCAGAUCACUUGAGUCCAGGAGUUCAAGACCAGCCUGGCCAACAUGGUGAAACCCCAUCUCUACUAAAACUACAAAAAUUAGCCGGGCAUGAUGGCGCAUGCCUGUAAUCCCAGCUACUGGGGAGGCUGAGGCAAGAGAAUCGCUUGAGUCUGGGAGGCGGAGGUUGCAGUGAGCUGAGAUCGUGCCAUUACACUCUAGUCUGGGUGACAGGGUGAAACUCCGUCUCUAAAGAAAUAAAUAAUAAAAUUUUAUUUCACGCCAUCCCUGCUUUCUCUCUUUCCCCAUCACUUGUCAGCAGCCGACUUCUCUACGUUUUACUUAUUUUUUUCACCUGUCUCCUGCAGUAGACUGUAAACUCUGUGAGGGUACUGCCGUCCAUCUUGUUCCCUGCUGGAUUGCCAGUUCAGUGCCUGGCACAUAGUAGGUGCUUAAUAAAUGUUAGUGAGAUGUAUUGUCUCACUAACAUAAUCGUGAGCAGAGGCAAGGAUUGGGCUGCUCAGAAUAUUUUUCUGGAGCUCUAGCGGUGCCUGGAUGCAGGGGAGGGAAUUUCUGGGUCAGAGGUGAGCCCUGGCAGGGGCAGGAAGAGGCACCAGCCAGACAGUGGGCAGAAUAGGGAAGCCUUGAACGCCAAGGCAAGGGCUAUGUUUUUUCUGCAACCUGUGUCUUUCUGUCUCCCUCUUUCAGGUAGUCUGGGUUGGAGGAGGCAGAGCCAUGACCAAGGGGACCUGGGUACUGGCUGAAGGAAUAGGCUGGGGUAGAGGGCACUUUUGGAAGGCACUUCUCCUGCCUCCCGGGAGCCUAGAUCUCACUCCAGGUAAGUAAUUGUAGUAGUUGAGAAAGAGAAAGGACCUUAGAGAUUGUGGAGACCAUAGAUGGGGAAACUGAGGCCCAGAGAGGAGAAGAGACAGAUGUUAUUGACCAUCAUCCCCCUCCAUACACUUAUGCUUCUGGCCUCUAGGGUAGGGACAUGGCCUUGGUGUCUCAUUUCUUUUUGGACUAACACGUGGACCAGAGCCGUGUUGCCCCUGACUUGCUGGGUGACCUUGGGAAAAUUGCUUCUCCUCUCUGGGCUCUGUUACCUGUCUCCUUACAAUAAAGGAUUGAGCUUUGAUUUGGCUUUACUGCACUCUUUGCCUGCAAUUCCUGUGACUGCCAUCAGGUGGCAGAAAACAGCCAAGUUCCAAGAGAAUCGCUUGAACCCAGGAGUCAGAGGUUACAGUGAGCCGAAAUCACGCCAUUGCACUCCAGCCUGGCGACAGAGCAGGACUCUGUCUCAAAAAAAAGAAAGAAAAAAGAAAACAGCCAAAUUCACCAGGGGCCAUCCCUGUUCCUCUUAAAGGACACAAGGGACAUCCACAGGAGGGGAUGACUGCAGAUCACUGUCCGUGUCAGGGAUGUUAGGGUCUGGGCUCCCAGGUGGACCAUGAAACCCUGGCCUGACCAGCUGAUGCACACUGCUUCAGACACUCCUGCUGGAGCCCCAGUCCCUGACAAGGACCUAGGACAUUUUUGCUCCUGCCCAGCCUAUCGGGAGGGAGCCUUGAGCCUUUCAGCUCUGCUGUGUGACUUUGAGGUUGUUGCUCCCCUCUUGGGGCCCUGGGUGCCCUGUCUUCAGUGGAAAGCACUGUGCCACCUUGGAAAGCUCCCAUGGGCAGCCAGAGGGCAUCGCAAGAAGAGAAGCACAGAAGGGGCAGGAGAGACACUCAGAGGCACUUCCGCUCUUGCCCAGGACAUUUUCCCAGCCACACCUUUGCCCAAGCCGUGCCCCCUGCCUGGAGCACUUUUCAACCUCUUCUCUGCAGCUCCAAUACACCUGGGAUUGCAGUCUCCUCCAGGAAGUCUUCUCAGAUUCCCUCCUUCCCAGCCAGAGAGCACCUAGCCUUCUUUGGGGCCCCCACAGGCCCUUUGUGCAGUGAACAGCCCUGGCUGGGGGUGCAGCCAGUCGUGUCCGAACUCUCCAAUGACUAAGCGGGGAGAUGCGGACAUCCUAGCUCCUUCUCAGGCCUCCAACUGUGCCCCAUUUCCACCCCCAAAUACCUCCCCAGGAGGCACCUGUGCCCACCCCCUGGGCUGUUUCCCCCUUCCCCUUAAAUCCGGAUGCCUCGUCUUGCAUAGGGUCUUGGGGCAGCGGGGAAGGGGUUCUGAAGAACUCUGGCCAAGAGGACGAGGAUCUGGGGGUGGGGAACUGGGCCUAGCUGUGGGAGGUCAUCGCGGGGCAUUGCAGGGAGUGCGUUGUGGGAAUUCCGGGUGGAGACCCUCAGGGCAGUGUGCCGGGCCUCCGUUGCACCUCUGACCUGCAGCCACGUCAUCGUUGCGCAGCCCCUGGGGAGGGUCUUUGGGGAGGGGGUGCCGAGGCUACGCAUGUCCUCGAGGGCCGUGUACACUCUCCAGGCACCAUGGGCGGAGGCGCCAGAGGCUGGGAAGAAAUAAUGUUUUAGUUAAGAGUCCUGUUGGCUGCAGGACUCAGAGCAUGGACAGGUGGAUAGUAAAUCACCACCACGGGGACAGCCGUGCCCAGACUGUGCGUUUGCUUAGCUCGGGGACAGCACUUGGCCCGGGGUCUCCUGCUCGCCUCCCUUCAGAGCAUCUGCCAAACUUCGGGCAUCUACCCUGCAAUUCCCGCUUGGCUGAGAGGAGGGGGAGAAGGAGGGGAAGAGAGAGGAGCCCCACUUCACUCCGGCAGGCAGACCUGCUGGAGCUGCUUUGCAGAAUGACUUGGGUCUUGCUGGCCCCUGGGUGUGCCUGGAGGGGGGUCUUCCUAUCCCCCUCCACCUCUCCCCUUGGUGCCUAACCCAGGACUUUGUCCCCAGAGACCCACUGUGUGCCCCCUGGAGCUCCUCCUAGAGCAGAGUCUGCUGCUGUCUGUUCUGCAGAGGGUAGCCUGAGGCCCAAGGAGGUUGUCAGGGACACACAGCAGGGGGAGGCAGCCCAGAUCCCUGCUCAUGCGUGGUUUGGGCCUCUGCUAACAGCUGGGCCACAUGCGUGUAUCUAGAGCCUGGGUCCCCUCUGUCCUCAUUUCCCUGUGCAUAUUCAGGGACAUGCCUCGUCAGGGUUUGGCAAGAAAAUGGGGCAUUUAAUAAUCUCCCCAGUUUCAUUCCUUGGUCCUUACUCCAUGCCAGGACUUGUGCACAUCUUUUUGGAGCCCUGUCUCACUUGAUUGACAGCCGGCCAGGCGCGGUGGCUCACGCCUGUAAUCCCAGCACUUUGGGAGGACGAGGCAGGCGGAUCAUGAGGUCAGGAGAUGGAGACCAUCCUGGCUAACACGGUGAAACCCCGUCUCUACUAAAAGUACAAAAAAAAUAGCCGGGCCUGGUGGCGGGCGCCUGUAGUCCCAGCUACUUGGUAGGCUGAGGCAGGAGAAUGGCGGGAACCCGGGAGGCAGAGGUUGCAGUGAGCUGAGAUCACGCCACUGCACUCCAGCCUGGGCGACAGAGCGAGACUCCGUCUCAAAAAAAAAAAAAAAAAAGAUUGACAGCCUCACUGCUCAGGGGCCAGGAUAACAGCCCAUUUUACAGAUGGCUUUUGGCUUGCCCAAGGUCACCACCCUCUGAACUGAGGCGUCCCCAACCCAUGCCGGGAGCUGGUGGAGGAAGUGGGGAAGGGUUUCCCGCUUCUCCACUGGGGGUGGAGGUGGGAGAAAGCAUUUUCAGGGUGUUUUGACAUUUAACAAACAGUAUGCAAAUCACAUGCAAAUCGCAUGCAAAUCACCACCCAUUUCUUAAGCCUCGACAGCGCUGGCAUGUUCUGAAAUAAUAAUGUUGGACCUGUCCCUUGAUGAUGACCUGGGUCGGGAGGUGCACGGCCUUUUCCUUCCUCCGUCUUCCCUUCCCUUCCCUUCCCUUCCCAUCUGUUCUCCCUUCCUUCGCCCCCUUCCUUUCCUCUCCCUCCCUAUCUUCCAUUUUUCUCUUCUUCCUUCACAUCAUUUGUCCAAGACCUCCCUGGCCUGAGAUAAACAUAAGUUGCAAAAGUGGCUUCCUGCAGCCCAUUUUCCAGGUUGGGAAACUGAGGCAUGGGCCUAAGGUCCCACAGCCACACCGAGGAAAGCAGCCCCCACUGAAUGUCACCAUGCACCAAAGUGCAUGGUCCUCGUGACACAAAGAGGGGAGAUGACAGUGGCUGGAGUUGUCAGAGCUGCUUUGAGGAAGCUCCAGGCCUGAUAGGCUUGACAGGGCCAAGGGGAACUAUUGUGGAAUGUCUUGGCCUUGAAUGACAGGCUGCUGAUUUUGGAUCUGGAGAAAGCUCACACUGACUCUUCCUGCUCCCCCAGUCUGUUUUUCUCCUGCUACUCCAUCCAUGUAUCCCUGAGUUUGGGCCACAGUCCCUCCACUUGGUUUGCAUGUCCCACCUUCUUUGUUUGGCAAGCUCCUAUUCAUCCUUCAAAGCCCUAGCUUCAAUACCUGCUACUUCAUGCAGCCAUUGCUUAUCCUUCAAGGAGAGCCUACUUCCCUCAAGGACCCUGCUGCUUCCAGUCUCACCUUCUGACUCACUCGGGAUCCACUGAACUGGGAGGUCUGUGUCUCCUCCCAGCAGAGUCAUCACUACCUUUGGGGCCGCAGGAUCACCCAGCUUGGAACUAGAUACAGAAAUGCUGUUUUGAGAGUGUACUGAAUAAAAGAUUACAUGUUUGAAAACAA